UAUAAACCUAUGACGGGAAAUAGUAGUUAUGUAUUUAUAUAAAGAGAGCCGGCGGGCGGUGAAAGCCGGUUAUAUAGCAUAGUGAAUCCAUCCCGGAGGGAUUGCGACCAAUUAAGCAAUAUCGUCAGUGCACGUUACAGCACAUAAAGAGGAUGGCUAUCAAUAGUGUAAAUAUUAUUAAUAGCUUAUCAAUUAGGGUGGCAACACGGAAAUAUUAGCCUUUCGUCCCUUGA
This 233-nucleotide non-coding RNA is filed under the name Oxobacter pfennigii. RNAcentral describes it as "T-box sequence". It matches the Rfam family "T-box leader". From Rfam's summary of the family: Uncharged tRNA acts as the effector for transcription antitermination of genes in the T-box leader family. T-boxes are found upstream of many aminoacyl-tRNA synthetase genes and some amino acid biosynthetic genes usually in Gram-positive bacteria. The anticodon of a specific tRNA base pairs to a specifier sequence within the T-box motif, and the NCCA acceptor tail of the tRNA base pairs to a conserved bulge in the T-box antiterminator hairpin. The record is from RNAcentral. Lineage: Bacteria; Bacillati; Bacillota; Clostridia; Eubacteriales; Clostridiaceae.